AGACAUGAAAGAUGAAGGCAAAAAGAGAAGAGGAGAUCAUUGAAGCCUGGUGUCCAACAUUCGGUUCUGGAAGGAUGGGGUUGCGGGACUGGAGCAGGCCGUCCUCGUCUCUCUGACCGAAAGCCCCUACGAGACCUGGGGAGCACCCAGGGGCAGCACCUUGUGGGCGCAGCAUCCUGUAGCAUCCUCGGACCUGCACCUAACACAGCUCGAACCCCGGGAGUGGCACAACCCAAUCAGAGAAAGCGCCA
Long non-coding RNA from Neogale vison (American mink), 251 nucleotides. RefSeq lists it as uncharacterized. The record is from RefSeq and is a predicted model, not a curated record. Lineage: Eukaryota; Metazoa; Chordata; Mammalia; Carnivora; Mustelidae. The transcript is spliced from 3 exons.